UUUAAAAUGCAUCUCUGGGUUAUUUGUGGGGCAUAGGAAUUUUUUUUUGGAGGGGGGGAAUGAACAAAUUCCUAUGCCCCACAAAUAACCCAGAGAUGCAUUUUUAA
Non-coding RNA from Podarcis lilfordi (Lilford's wall lizard), 107 nucleotides. Lineage: Eukaryota; Metazoa; Chordata; Lepidosauria; Squamata; Lacertidae. The record is from the annotation of a GenBank genome assembly.